UAAGAAGAAGCAUCAGAAAUCAUAUCUCCAAUCAACAUCCCACCUAAAGCACCUCCAAGCAACCCUGCUCCCAAUCCCAUUCCCAUUUUAUUCUUCUUAGGCUUCUGUGCUUGUGCCCCUGGAUAUCCAUAACCCGGUUGUUGCGGCGGGUAUCCAUAACCCGGUUGUUGUGGUGGAUAUCCAUAACCCGGUUGUUGUGGCGGGUAACCAUGACCCUGUUGAGGUGGAUAGCCAUAACCUGGUUGAGCUGGUGGAUAACCACCAGGUUGAGCCGGUGGGUAGCCACCAUAAGCAGCCGCUGCCGGUGGUGCAGGUGGAUAUCCAUAACCCGGUUGUUGCGGCUGAGGAGGAUAAGGUGUACCAUACGGCACCGAGCUAGACCCAGCUGCCGCCAUUCCAGGUGGAGGAUAAGCCAUCACCGGUUCAUGUUCGUUUUUUCCCUUCACCGGUUCAUGUUUCGAC
Molecule: long non-coding RNA, 462 nt
Filed under: Medicago truncatula (barrel medic)
Lineage: Eukaryota; Viridiplantae; Streptophyta; Magnoliopsida; Fabales; Fabaceae
Description: long non-coding RNA (MTRU_LNC008253)
Source: RNAcentral